Molecule: long non-coding RNA, 2242 nt
Organism: Tribolium castaneum (red flour beetle)
Lineage: Eukaryota; Metazoa; Arthropoda; Insecta; Coleoptera; Tenebrionidae
Exons: 3
Source: RefSeq, a predicted model, not a curated record
UGCUCAGAGUAGAUAACGAAUGGGGGGACAACACAACACAACCUUGACCUUGAGUUUGGCCCCGCCCAUUUUCCCUCUCUUUCUUUCAAGGCCACUCGUUCUCUCUCUUACUUUUCAAGGCCAACCCCUCCCACUUCCCCCACCACUUCAAGGCCAAGGCAUUAUUGGACCUUGAUGUUUUCAAGGUCAAGUUAUUCAUGCUACUCCCCACUUUUUCAAGGCCAACAACUCCUCACUCAUUCAAGAUGAAUCGCGCAAUUGUCCUUACUCAUUUUCCACCCCAAACUGUAUAAAAGAUAAUGUGUUGUGUUGUGUAACACAGUUCUUGUGUAUAUCUACUAUAACAAGAAAUUCUUUAAAAAUGGAACCCAUCAGAAAAAGUUCUAUUUAUAAUACUCCUGAGGAUAUCAUAGUUUGUCCAUACGACAAAAACCACAUUCUUCUUUGGUUUCGGCUCGAAAGGCACAUAUGGAAGUGCCAUCGGGCCGAUAAAGAAAAACAAAGGGCCUUACAUGAAGUGAUGAUGAAGGAAGAAGAGGAGAACUGGGAUCAUUUCAAUGAGCCCAGCUACCUCGACUUCCUGAAAUCUAAAAAAAUUCAUAAUGUCGAAAAACAAAGAUCCUCAUGUGAAGUGAUGAUGAAGGAAGAAGAGGAGAACUGGGAUCAUUUCAAUGAGCCCAGCUACCUCGACUUCUUAAAAUCUAAAAGGAAUCAUAAUGCCUUAAAUUAAAGAAGGUCGGGGUUCUUUCGUAAAAAUAGUGUAGAAUAAGUUUAGCAAAGUAGUAGUAGUCGUAGUAAACUGUAAAUAUUAUAUUAUUGUAUAAAAAAAAUAAAAGUUGUAAAAAAAAGCUACAUGUUUUUAUGUACACCUAUUUCAACCUACUGAUACAAGUAAGUGUGACCUGCAAGCAGAGAGUCGCUCACUGUUUCAAGACCACUCAUUCCCUCUUUAUCUUUGAUGUUUUCAUCUCACUUUUUCUCAUUAUCUCACUUUUUCAAGGCCACAAUAUUGAUGCAUUUUCAUUCAAGGUUAAAAAGUGGGGGUAUAGUUAAUAUAUAGAAUUUAGUACAAGUUUGAUAGCAGUCAGUACUGAUUUAAUCCUCCGAGAAAUAAUAAUAUAAAAAAAGUGCAUAUAUCUGUGUUAAUGUCUAAGAGUAUUCGCUGCUGGGUCAUGGAUGUAUUGAAUCGAAUCGCUCGAUGCGGACAGAAACCCAUUUUAAAAGCUGGUGAGCUAGAGUUGAACACAAGAUUCCGCAUACAUAAUAUUAGACGCACAAAGUCUCUGUUCGGAAAUUCAGUGCUUGUUGAGUUGGACAAUUAUGCAGUGUUUCUGCCGAGAAGAAUAAGUGAUUAUUUAACUGAGGAGAAAAUUGAUGAGUUAUUACGAGAUCCACGUCCACUAUAUUUAAUAUAUUUGGGAAAAGAAGAUGCUAGAAACCCGACAUCUGCACAUUGUUUUGAGUUUCAACGUGUUGAUGAUGAAAUAUUAGGUGAGUGAACAUAAUGUAAAAUGGAGGAUGAAAAGAAAUUAAAGAAAUGUAUAUUUCAUUUACAGUUAACGAGAGUGCCGAAGAGUAGGAUGAAAUUAUCGGAAAAAGACUUAUGUGUGUGAAGUAGUGUGCGUUUUGUGCUAGUGAUAGUUUCUUAAAAUAAAUGAAUAAAAAUCAUGUGUCUAGACGAUGGACAAUAUGAAAAAUGUUUAUACGAGUGUUUUGAUAAAAGACUGUUAUCAUAUAAGAACUGGGUACAUUCAUACCCAUCUCCAUGGAGUUUAGCAAAAGCGGGAUUGUUUUAUAUUCAAAUAUCUGAUUGUACCCAGUGUUUUGUUUGUGGAGUAAUAAUUUCACGAUGGGAAAAAAGUGAUGAUGCGUUUAUGGAGCAUAAAAAACAUUCUCCAAAAUGUGGAUAUGUGAAAUUGCUUUCCACAGACAAAACUACAAUUCAAAAAUUCAAAUUAGUUACUAAAAAUAGCAUUGUUGUAGUUUUAUUUUUUAUAGUAUUUGUAUUCAUGUAUUAUUUAUGGGCGUCUUCUUAUGCAUAGGUAAUGUGAUGCAGACUUGUUAACCUUGAUCAGUGUCGGGCGCGCGCCAAAGGUGAGGUAAACUAAAGGUUUCAAGAGACGUCUUGAUUUAAUUAGUUUAUAAUUAAAUAAGUGGUAGAAUAAUAUGGAGGAUUUAUAAUAGAUUUAAGGAUAUUUAAUGUACUACCUAUAAUAUUGAUGAAAUAAAGUGUUUUAAUUGA